AGAGUUUGAUCCUGGCUCAGGAUGAACGCUAGCUACAGGCUUAACACAUGCAAGUCGCGGGGCAGCAUGAUUUUUCCCUCGGGAAAGAUUGAUGGCGACCGGCGCACGGGUGAGUAACGCGUAUCCAACCUGCCCGUCACCACGGGAUAGCCUGCCGAAAGGCAGAUUAAUACCGUAUGUGGUCCGAAGACGGCAUCAGAUUCGGACUAAAGGUUCAGCGGUGACGGAUGGGGAUGCGUCCGAUUAGGUAGUAGGCGGGGUAACGGCCCACCUAGCCAUCGAUCGGUAGGGGUUCUGAGAGGAAGGUCCCCCACACUGGAACUGAGACACGGUCCAGACUCCUACGGGAGGCAGCAGUGAGGAAUAUUGGUCAAUGGAGGCAACUCUGAACCAGCCAAGUAGCGUGCAGGAUGACGGCCCUAUGGGUUGUAACUGCUUUUAUGCGGGGAUAAACUGAGUCACGUGUGGCUUAUUGCAGGUACCGCAUGAAUAAGGACCGGCUAAUUCCGUGCCAGCAGCCGCGGUAAUACGGAAGGUCCGGGCGUUAUCCGGAUUUAUUGGGUUUAAAGGGAGCGCAGGCCGCCCCUUAAGCGUGUUGUGAAAUGCCGCGGCUCAACCGUGGCACUGCAGCGCGAACUGGGGGGCUUGAGUGCGCCGGAGGUAGGCGGAAUUCGUGGUGUAGCGGUGAAAUGCUUAGAUAUCACGAAGAACUCCGAUUGCGAAGGCAGCCUACCGUAGCGUUACUGACGCUGAGGCUCGAAGGUGCGGGUAUCGAACAGGAUUAGAUACCCUGGUAGUCCGCACGGUAAACGAUGGAUGCCCGCCGUUGGGCUUUUAAAGUUCAGCGGCCAAGCGAAAGCGUUAAGCAUCCCACCUGGGGAGUACGCCGGCAACGGUGAAACUCAAAGGAAUUGACGGGGGCCCGCACAAGCGGAGGAACAUGUGGUUUAAUUCGAUGAUACGCGAGGAACCUUACCCGGGCUUGAAUUGCAGAUGACGGAUCCAGAGAUGGUGACUUCCUUCGGGACAUCUGUGAAGGUGCUGCAUGGUUGUCGUCAGCUCGUGCCGUGAGGUGUCGGCUUAAGUGCCAUAACGAGCGCAACCCCUUUCGUCAGUUGCCAUCGGGUAAUGCCGGGCACUCUGGCGACACUGCCGCCGCAAGGUGUGAGGAAGGUGGGGAUGACGUCAAAUCAGCACAGCCCUUACGUCCGGGGCGACACACGUGUUACAAUGGCAGGUACAGCGGGAAGCCACCCGGCGACGGGGCGCGGAACCCGAAAACCUGUCUCAGUUCGGAUUGGAGUCUGCAACCCGACUCCAUGAAGCUGGAUUCGCUAGUAAUCGCGCAUCAGCCACGGCGCGGUGAAUACGUUCCCGGGCCUUGCACACACCGCCCGUCAAG
Molecule: ribosomal RNA, 1402 nt
Filed under: uncultured bacterium
Lineage: Bacteria
Description: bacterial SSU rRNA
Rfam family: Bacterial small subunit ribosomal RNA
Source: RNAcentral